Molecule: long non-coding RNA, 456 nt
Organism: Aquila chrysaetos chrysaetos
Lineage: Eukaryota; Metazoa; Chordata; Aves; Accipitriformes; Accipitridae
Exons: 2
Source: RefSeq, a predicted model, not a curated record
AGCCCAAGUCCUGCCUGUCGGUCGCCGCGCGGGCCUCCGGCUGAGAAGAGACCCUCCGAGGACUUCAGCCAAGAGCUUACACCUGCCUUCCUGACAGCAGAGCUCCUCGGGGGAAGGCUCUUGGCAGUUCUGUGUUUGAUAGAAAAAGAUAUGCUAACCUGUCUUGACAGAAACUGCGGUUCCUGGAGAUAUGAAUGUAACUUUACUGAGGUUUUUCUGGAGCGUAUUUUCUGUCUGAGUAACUGGCAGAGGGCUCCUGAGGCCUGUAGUGUAAUGCUACUGAUGUGUGGAAAAGUACUUUUUCCAGGUUAAAAAAAACACACAAAGUUUCAGUGUGUUUCUGACUGGCUUGAGAACAGGCUGUGUAGUUCCCAGGUACUUAUAAGUUACAUUCCAAGUGAGAUGUAACAGAAAUGAACAGCUUUGCUAAGUAAAUAAAAUUCUAUGAUUACGCUA